CGGGGCGUAGCUCAGUUUGGGAGAGCGCUACCUUGGGGUGGUAGGGGUGGUAGAGGUCGCAGGUUCAACUCCUGUAGCUCCGA
This 83-nucleotide transfer RNA is filed under the name Desulforamulus reducens MI-1. RNAcentral describes it as "Desulfotomaculum reducens MI-1 tRNA". It matches the Rfam family "tRNA". Rfam says of the family: Transfer RNA (tRNA) molecules are approximately 80 nucleotides in length. Their secondary structure includes four short double-helical elements and three loops (D, anti-codon, and T loops). Further hydrogen bonds mediate the characteristic L-shaped molecular structure. tRNAs have two regions of fundamental functional importance: the anti-codon, which is responsible for specific mRNA codon recognition, and the 3' end, to which the tRNAs corresponding amino acid is attached (by aminoacyl-tRNA synthetases). tRNAs cope with the degeneracy of the genetic code in two manners: having more than one tRNA (with a specific anti-codon) for a particular amino acid; and 'wobble' base-pairing, i.e. permitting non-standard base-pairing at the 3rd anti-codon position. The record is from Rfam by way of RNAcentral. Lineage: Bacteria; Bacillati; Bacillota; Clostridia; Eubacteriales; Peptococcaceae.